Molecule: ribosomal RNA, 40 nt
Filed under: Crepidium acuminatum
Lineage: Eukaryota; Viridiplantae; Streptophyta; Magnoliopsida; Asparagales; Orchidaceae
Description: partial 28S ribosomal RNA
Source: RNAcentral
AUGCGACCCCAGGAUGGGCGAGGCCACCCGCCGAGUUUAA